GGCAAGCCAGCUGCACACAGAUGCAAUUCACCUCCUCUGCUGGCCUCCGUAUCUGGAGUGCUAUCUGAAAGGAAAACUAGGAAGCUGAGACAUAAAAUAUAUCCAUUACCCCAAACAGCUCAAUGGAAAUGGACAAUGUUCAGCUCUGUUAAUGGACACAGUGACAACAUCUGUGCCUUAGUCUUCAGGUCAGAACUUACUGAUUGGAGCCGCAAUCGUCAGAGGAUAAGCCAGCGACGGAGAAGCACCCAGACACAAAGGAACCCAUUGGAACAUGUACAACUUUCUAAUCCCUGGGAAAAUGAGACUAGCUUACCAUCCCAGUCAACUUCAGAGGAUGCUCUGCAAACUAAGGAGCGGCACUGCAUACAGCAUACAGAAGUCAUGCCUGCCAAGCAGCUGGAGCUCCUAGCAGUGAUGAUCAACUACAGCUGUGGACUUCUGCACACUGCUGUGUCAAGACAGAUGUUAGGUGCUCAGCCUGCAGUCUGUAAGAAGCUUUAGCUGAUUCAGAUUUGCAUUCAGUAAUUUUCAUGCUCAAAAAGAGACCCACAGUCUUGCUAAGGAUUCAGCUGCAAACUAACAUGAGCAAUAAUCCCAAGUAGAUCUGAAAUGGAGAUUUUACAGAGAGUUAAGUACCCUGGUGAGAGAAAAAUAAAUCUUGUAUUACUCUAAAAGUGACACUUUCAAUAGACACAAAAAGGCACACCCCUAUGUAUAAACUGAAGCAUUAAAAUACCUGUUAUAAAUCUCCAGCAGAUACCAUCUCAGCUUUAACUACAGUGUUCACAGAACAUUUUUGGUGCUACCGUGUGGUCAUAGCCAUACAUUAGGCAUGCAGAUGGAAAGGGGUUUGAGCUCUUUAAGAGAAACUCCUCCCCUAUUCCCAUCCAGCGCCACAAUAUUAUGUCUUUCUAAAACUACAGGGGUAGCCCGUUUUCCUGACUCGUUCUAUACAAUACAUCACAAACAGAGUAGAGAAAUAGCUUGAGAGAACUGUAUUCUCAGGAAAGCUCGGUUGAACAAAAACAAACAAACAAACAAACAAAAAAAACAAUGAAAGGAAAUGAAAUCACAGGUAAGAAUAUUGCUUUCUAUUUAAAAAUAAAAAUUUUGGAGAAUCCAAUGUCAGAUGCUAAAAUAAACAUUCCCAGUUAAAGCCAGGUAAGGUACUGGGCGAAAGCAUUCAGGGGGUAGGUGGCAUCUUUUUGAUGACUUGGGAAUUUAAAAAACACUGGCUCAGGCAUCCCUAAAUAAUGCAGUAUGCUCUUCCCUAUGUCAGGAUUCAGCACAACCUGGUCCAGCCCCAGGAGUCUCCUACCGGGACAGUCAAAGGACAAGACUAGUAAGCAAAAGCAGUCAGUAAUACAGAUGGAUCAUUUCACAGCAGCAUUUUACAAGAGAGAGAUAUAAAAUAUAUUUGCCUCCGCAGACCUACAAACAGAGGUUACUCACAGAGAUUACUGCAGCUCCAGCAGUUACCCAUUGAUCAUAGAAAAUGCCCAGUUCAUCAGCUUAAUGCUCGAGAAAAGUUAGCUAGAAAAAAAGGCAGCUAAUUCAAAAUCUGCUGUUCUAGUCAACUGGAAGCAAAUUAGUUUCAAAUUUCCUGGCAGCCCCUUUUGCCCUGCACUGCACACGGUGAUGUCAGUGGAAGCACUUUGAGCACCAGAAACCCUCGCGGAGAGGUGCUGCCGCCUGGAUCCUCUCUCACAAAGGCUAAGCUGCCUGUUCUUUCGCUCGCUCACUCACCCCCUUUCUGCCUGUCUCUCUCUACCUUGGUAGCUUACCGAAAACAACCACCGUAGGGCUUUUCUAUAUUUGUGAAAACUACUUCCAAGGAGAUAAUUGAGAUGCCGGGAGUUAGCUUUAAUGUAACCAUUUCCCCAGUGCAGCGGCAGAAACCCCAGCGAAGGCUCUGAGAGGAUUGUACCAUCCUCGGUGACAUCAGAGGUGGGGCUGUCAUCUCAGGAUUAUGCAGCAUUUUCUCUGAUGAGAGAAUGACAUAUGUGAAAUGAAAUGCAUGGGUUCCCUUUAAAAGGGCUUAGUUCCUAUGCUGUUUUAAACAGAACAGGCAAAAGCAAAUACAAUGUUGAAAAACUGCUGUAGGAAGAUAGAAAUCUUGCUUUGCCAGUCCUUAUCUCGCUACUAAAUGACGCUGCCAUCUCAAGUCAUUUUACUGAUGAUUACAUUAUCAUUACUGUGAUUAAAUUAAUAUUUCAUAGGUAAUUGAUAGUACUUGGAAAAUGUGAUAUGAAAAAUUCAUAUUUAACAUCUGGUUUUAAAUAUGAUGGCAUAAACUUUUACAUCUCUAACAGUACCUUGGACAUAUGCAAUACUUCCAACACAUUCUCAAUAAAAAUACUAUAUGUAAAAACAGUUUUGUAGAUGAGAAAAAUGAGGUGAAAAACAGCACAAGAUGAAAAGCAUAAUGUAAUACUGGUCUUUAGUCUUGGUAAUGGAGGUUAAUACAAACAGCAAAAAGAACUCAUCUUCUAUAACCUUAAUACUCCAGUGUCAAAAGCGUAGGCCAACAACACAAAGCAACUGAUGGUGAUUUUCAUUAAUUCCAUAUGCAUUUACUGAGAAGAGGCUAACAGGUUUUAAAAAAUGUGUGAAACCUACUUUGGAAUGUACCUUUCCACUAAGUAAUAAAAUCACAACAGAAAAUACAUAUAUAAUGCUUAUUAUGUACCAGGCACCAGGCAGGUUUAUUGUAUUAACUCAUCUAUUCCUACUAACAGCCCCCUGGGCUGCUGCUACAGUUAACCCAUUUUACAGAUACGACUACUGAAACACAAAUAGGGAUGUAACAUGUCUGAGGUUACGUGGCUAGAACUGGCACAGGCAGGAUGCAAACAUAGGCAAGAAGGCCACAAAGUCCACCCUCUUAACCACUAGGCUACAUUGUCUCCUGUGGGCUUCCUUGUCAAGUAUAAGAAUUCUAAAGGAAGAACAUAAUUUUCAAGAUUUAGAACCACAGAAAGCCAAAAAUAGCCACCUCUCCAGAACACUGGCCCAAAUAUAAGAGGAUAAAGGUGGAGAGGGCACCCAGAGACUGCACACAGAAACAACGGAAAUAAUGUCCAGAAGGAGUUUAGUGCUGACUGCUCAAGGGACCUGGAGACAAUGGCUUAAAAUCGUCCAGCAUUAGUUUCCUUAUUUCUAAGCUGCAGGUUUUUAAAUUAUAGCCAAUAUUAAAGUGUGGUUAAAGCACACGUUCCAGACUUGUAAUCUGGGCUCCAUUAUUUUCCAAUUAUGUCAAUUUAAGCAAAUUAUUUAACCUCUGAGAGGCUCAAUAUCCUCAUCCAAAAAAAAUGAGGAAAACAAUGGGGUCAUUCUGAGGAUUAAUGACUAUGCAUAUAAAUAUAUAAAGCACUCAGAGUAGCAACCAGUAUAUAAUAAAAGCUCAAGGCUCACUAUUAUUGUUUUCCAUAAUCAUCAUUUCUUUUAGUAUUAAUAUCACAUUUUUUUACUAAAACUACCAACUUUUCAAAAACCUCUCCAAGGAGAGCUGCUAUUUUUCCAGAGUUGAUGGGAAAAGCAAAGAAAAACCUCUACUGGCUUCAUAUAAACAUUAACCAAUGACACUGACUUCUUAUGAGAGGGAAGAUGGAAGUUAUUAGGCAUGCCUUUCAAAAAAAGCUCCUUCUAUGGGAGCUUUUGGGGAAGAAACAGGAGCGUUUACCUUUUUGCCCUCCCCAACUUCUUCCUCUGCCAGGAAUAUGGAACGGGGCUAGAGCCAAGUAGCCAUCCUUAACUGUAGGCAUCCUGUUAGUUAGGGAGAUGACACAGAAAAUGAGUGUCCAAACCCACCAUAGAUCUCCCACUCUCAUCUUCUUUUAUGUUAGAGAAAAAUAUACCUUUAGUUCAAGUACUUAAUUCAAGCUUUUAUUUAACACAACUCUCCACGACCCUGUGAAACACAGUUAAAGGCCACAGUUUCCCGGUAGUUUCAAGGGCUACCUGGCGGGCUAGGCUAUGUAUCAUGACUUUUAUGUCACAUCCUUUGAGCCUGCACCCUCCCCAAUGCCAAGUCAAAGUCAGUGGAUGACCCCAUGGGAAAGAAAAAGCAAAACAUAUUACUUCCAAUACUUAACAGCUAUGCUGUUUUUUUUACAAACAGAACAAAAAGGGUUGAAUGGCUAAAGCAACAGCAUGUGAAAUGCUCCUCCCCCAUCUUACUUUCCUCCAGUCUCUAAAUGGAUCCAAUAUAUCCAAUCUGCAUGCUACUAAGCUAAUGUUAAAGGAGAAAAACAAAGAAAGUCAAAUACAAGAAUAAGGAUGCUUGAUAAAGUUACUGCUAUUAUAAGGCUAUCCAACCGCAAUUACCAGGGACCAUGAAGAAAUAUGUCUCCACCUCACAAAUGUUCCAAUUCCAAAUGUCUAGCAUUUCACAUUAGGCUUUAACUAACAGUAUCUUGGACUGACACUCUAAAAUCUUCUAUUUCAAAAAGUAAAGCUCAAAAAUAGACUUGUUACAUAUUCUCUAGUCUCUCAUGGGCACCAUCUCUAAAAAUCGUAUAUACAAAAACAGCAGUUGAGUCCAUAACUAGAUUAAAUGAAAGGAUUUCAAUCUAAAAUGGAACCAAAAAAAAAAAAAAUGGAACCAGAGGAUAUGAGAUGGAGAAACUCACACAGGCACCCACAGAAAAACAGUACUUAGCAACUAAGAGAGAGAUUCCUAUUCCUAUUCCUAUUCCGAGACUUAUCUCCUGACCUACAAGUAUCUGCUACUACUCUCUCUCAAUCCUCAAGCCGAAGAACUUACCUCCCUGAACUCUGGCUGGCCCCUCACUGCUGUACUCCUUGGCCAGAAAUACAGCAUGUAUUUUCCAAACUGCAAUUGCUCUGGUAUUCCCAAAUAAACUCAAUUUCUGGUCAUUCAAGCUUGCCUCAGUUUACCUCUUUAUUUAGAUUGACAGAAAUACCAUCCUUGAAAUUAUUUUAUGUCUGAAACUUAAUCCAAUAAUACUGCCAUUAUUAUUAAAGAAUGCAUAAUACCAGAUACU
Molecule: long non-coding RNA, 5009 nt
Organism: Canis lupus familiaris (dog)
Lineage: Eukaryota; Metazoa; Chordata; Mammalia; Carnivora; Canidae
Exons: 4
Source: RefSeq, a predicted model, not a curated record